This 2235-nucleotide long non-coding RNA is filed under the name Fragaria vesca (wild strawberry). Its description in RNAcentral is "long non-coding RNA (FVES_LNC000355)". The record is from RNAcentral. Lineage: Eukaryota; Viridiplantae; Streptophyta; Magnoliopsida; Rosales; Rosaceae.
AAUGUAGUUUCUUUCUUUUAUUUUUAUUUCCGUUUUUGUUGUUCUCAACCCUAAACCACUGCACGUCGCCACUACCAAAACCAGAACUCACUCACCAAAAUAACACCGAGCCGCUCCACCAUCGAGCUCACCCCACAAAAUAACACCGACCACCACCACCAAAACCCCAGAUCUGACCCAAAUCGGAAAAGCAUUCAACCCAAACCUCCACCAUUGUCGUCGUCGACUAACCACCAACAACAACAAAUUCAUCAACAAACAACUCCAGAUCUGAAAAAAUCUCUAGAACCGGUCCUAAAAAAGAACCUCAAAUUCUAUGCAACUCGAAUGAACAAUAAACUAAAAGAAGAUAUAGACCCAAAUAGAUAGAGGCGGAAAUGGGGGAGAAGAGGUAGUGAGUCGGGGAGUGGAGAACCCAGAUCGAUCUAAGGAGUUGGGAGAGGGAGGGGGCAGAGGAGAAGGAGAGGAAGACUUUAGAGAAAGAGAGAGGGAGUGGGUUUGUUUCGGUGGUGGGGAAGAGAAAGAAAAUGGUUUUGGGUGAUGUUCUUGGGGAGAGAAAGAAGGAGUGAGAGGUCAGAGGAAGAGGAAGUUAAAGAGAGCGAGAGAGAAAAUGAUUGAAUAAAAAGAAAAGCUGAAAAUUUAAAAGGAAACUUGUUUGAAAAUUUCCAAAAUUUUUGGCGGAAACUUAAAAUUUUGGCAAAAUUUGGUUUACCGAGAGAAAGAAGGAGUGAGAGGUCAGAGGAAGAGGAAGUUAAAGAGAGCGAGAGAGAGAAUGGUUGAAUAAAAAGAAAAGCUGAAAAUUUAAAAGGAAACUUGUUUGAAAAUUUCCAAAAUUUUUGGCGGAAACUUAAAAUUUUGGCAAAAUUUGGUUUACCUCUAAAGUCAAAAAUUACACUAUUCCAGUAUCAGCCAACACAUAAAUGUUGUCUUAUUAACAAGAAAAAUUUGUCUGUAAAAUCAAAUAGUUUGGAGGGAAUCCACCUAAGUUAAAAGGUUAGGGUUUACCUCCAAAGUCAGAAAUUACUAAAUUUCAGUAUCAGCCAACAUAUAAAUGUUGUCUUAUUAACAUAAUUAAGUAAAAUUUUCACACAAGUUGUCAAUUCAUAAAAAAUUCAAUAUCAGACAACACAUAAAUGUUGUCGGAUUAACAUAAUUAAGUAAAAUUUUCACACAAAUUAUCAAUUCAAUAAAAUUCAAUAUCAGCCAACAUAUAAAUGUUGUCUUAUUAACAUAAUUAAAUAAAAUUUUCACACACGUUGUCAAAUCAAUAAAAUUCAAUAUCAGACAACAUAUAAAUGUUGUUGGAUUAACAUAAGUAAAAUUUUCACACAAGUAUUGGUCAAUUUGGAAAUCCCCCUAAAAGUUGAGAAAAUAUAACCUUCAUAGCUAGACAACCUAUAAGUGUUGUCCGAAUGUAACUUUCAUUUUGACAAUUAAGACUAAAACAGACCUCUUUCUUCACCAACAUAUAUGUAUUGUCCCAAAAACAUAAAUUUUUUCAAAGAAAAUUAGUAUUGUCUAAGUGCAUAUUCCACCAACAUAGAAAAAAAAUGUGUCGCCCUGAAACCCCGAACCAUACUUAAUUUUGUUUGUGUCGUCUGAUGGGUGUUGCCUGAUGCAGGAAAUGCCGGGAGAUUGAAAAUGAGAUUGAUGAGGGAGAUUAAUGUAUUGUGGCAUAUAAUAUUCAUAUUUUCUUAUGACAAAUAUUUUUUAAAUGUAAUUUAGAAGUUUGUUAUGGAAUAGAAUUGACAAAAGACAAUAGAGUUAAGAGGGUAGCAUCUUAUUAUUUACUAUGUAUUAUAGGGCCAAGUGUCGCCUUACUGUUCACUGUCAAUAGUAGACAGACGCUUUUACCCUUCAAUAUUUCUUUUGUUUUACAUGCAUGUUGCACUCAGGUGUUGCAUGGCGUCGUCCUCUUCCUCCACGUAUAUGUUGCGUGUCUUCAGCUUAUGAAUGCAGAAUAACAUCACGGUUAUUUCUAGUGGUUUUUCACUUCGUCUUCUUUACUUCGUUAUGUUCUCUCCAUAGAUAAAGGCUAGCAUAAUUAGAGACAUCCUGAAGAAUUACAAAAUAAUCUCAUAUGUGAUUCUCUACUAAUCGGUGCGGGUUCAAGAAAUUUGUUUGGUUUUUUAAACCAAAUAAAAAAAAUUGUUGUCUUUUCCCAUCUUUAUUUAUCUUUUAAUUAGUCGAUUGCGUUUUUUGUUUUCCUUGAUCUUCAACUAGUUAGAGUUUUUG